CCUACGGGAGGCAGCAGUGAGGAAUAUUGGUCAAUGGUCGGGAGACUGAACCAGCCAAGCCGCGUGAGGGAUGAAGGUACAGAGUAUCGUAAACCUCUUUUGUCAGGGAACAAAGGCGGGGACGUGUCCCCGGUUGAGUGUACCUUAAGAAAAAGCAUCGGCUAACUCCGUGCCAGCAGCCGCGGUAAUACGGAGGAUGCGAGCGUUAUCCGGAUUUAUUGGGUUUAAAGGGUGCGCAGGUGGUCUGUUAAGUCAGCGGUUAAAGUCUGGGGCUCAACCCCGGCCCCGCGGUUGAAACUGGCAGUCUCGAGUUGGAGAGAAGUAUGCGGAAUGCGCGGUGUAGCGGUGAAAUGCAUAGAUAUCGCGCAGAACUCCGAUUGCGAAGGCAGCAUGCCGGCUCCACACUGACGCUGAGGCACGAAAGCGUGGGUAUCGAACAGGAUUAGAUACCCGAGUAGUC
RNAcentral lists this ribosomal RNA (460 nucleotides) under uncultured bacterium. RNAcentral describes it as "partial 16S ribosomal RNA". It matches the Rfam family "Bacterial small subunit ribosomal RNA", at positions 338 to 795 of the family's 1533-position model. The record is from RNAcentral.